GAUGAACGCUGGCGGCGUGCCUAAUACAUGCAAGUCGAGCGAACGGACGAGAAGCUUGCUUCUCUGAUGUUAGCGGCGGGCGGGUGAGUAACACGUGGAUAACCUACCUAUAAGACUGGGAUAACUUCGGGAAACCGGAGCUAAUACCGGAUAAUAUUUUGAACCGCAUGGUUCAAAAGUGAAAGACGGUCUUGCUGUCACUUAUAGAUGGAUCCGCGCUGCAUUAGCUAGUUGGUAAGGUAACGGCUUACCAAGGCAACGAUGCAUAGCAGACCUGGGAGGGUGAUCGGCCACACUGGAACGUAGACCCGGUCCAGACUCCUACGGGAGGCAGCAGUAGGGAAUCUUCCGCAAAGGGCGAAAGCCUGACGGAGCAACGCCGCGUGAGUGAGGAAGGUCUUCGGAUCGUAAAACUCUGUUAUUAUGGAAGAACAUAUGUGUAAGUAACUGUGCACAUCUUGACGGUACCUAAUCAGAAAGCCACGGCUAACUACGUG
RNAcentral lists this ribosomal RNA (497 nucleotides) under uncultured bacterium. RNAcentral describes it as "partial 16S ribosomal RNA". It matches the Rfam family "Bacterial small subunit ribosomal RNA", at positions 28 to 507 of the family's 1533-position model. The record is from RNAcentral.